This 74-nucleotide transfer RNA is filed under the name endosymbiont of Pachyrhynchus infernalis. It matches the Rfam family "tRNA". Rfam says of the family: Transfer RNA (tRNA) molecules are approximately 80 nucleotides in length. Their secondary structure includes four short double-helical elements and three loops (D, anti-codon, and T loops). Lineage: Bacteria; Pseudomonadati; Pseudomonadota; Gammaproteobacteria. The record is from Rfam by way of RNAcentral.
CGGUGAGUAGCGCAGUUUGGUAGCGCAACUGGUUUGGGACCAGUAGGUCGGAGGUUCAAAUCCUCUCUCACCGA